UACGGAGGGUGCGAGCGUUGUCCGGAAUCAUUGGGCGUAAAGGGCGCGUAGGUGGCCCGGUCAGUUCGUGGUGAAAGCGCGGGGCUCAACCCUGCGUCGGCCAUGAAUACUGCCGCGGCUGGAGCACUGUAGAGGCAGGCGGGAAUUCCGGGUGUAGCGGUGGAAUGCGUAGAGAUCCGGAAGAACACCGGUGGCGAAGGCGGCCUGACUGG
RNAcentral lists this ribosomal RNA (212 nucleotides) under uncultured bacterium. RNAcentral describes it as "partial 16S ribosomal RNA". It matches the Rfam family "Bacterial small subunit ribosomal RNA", at positions 524 to 733 of the family's 1533-position model. The record is from RNAcentral.